AGUGAACGCUGGCGGUAGGCCUAACACAUGCAAGUCGAACGGCAGCACAGGAGAGCUUGCUCUCUGGGUGGCGAGUGGCGGACGGGUGAGGAAUACAUCGGAAUCUACUCUGUCGUGGGGGAUAACGUAGGGAAACUUACGCUAAUACCGCAUACGACCUACGGGUGAAAGCAGGGGAUCUUCGGACCUUGCGCGAUUGAAUGAGCCGAUGUCGGAUUAGCUAGUUGGCGGGGUAAAGGCCCACCAAGGCGACGAUCCGUAGCUGGUCUGGGAGGAUGAUAAGCCACACGGGAACUGAGACACGGUCCAGACUCCUACGGGAGGCAGCAGUGGGGAAUAUUGGACAAUGGGCGCAAGCCUGAUCCAGCCAUACCGCGUGGGUGAAGAAGGCCUUCGGGUUGUAAAGCCCUUUUGUUGGGAAAGAAAUCCAGCUGGCUAAUACCCGGUUGGGAUGACGGUACCCAAAGAAUAAGCACCGGCUAACUUCGUGCCAGCAGCCGCCGUAA
Molecule: ribosomal RNA, 506 nt
Filed under: uncultured bacterium
Lineage: Bacteria
Description: partial 16S ribosomal RNA
Rfam family: Bacterial small subunit ribosomal RNA
Source: RNAcentral